GAUGAACGCACAAGACGUGCCUAACACAUGCAAAUCGAAUGAGAACAAUUUAAUUAUUGUUUUCAUGGUGAACGGGUGAGUAACACAUAAGAAUCAGCUUUUAGAUAAGGCAUAAAAGAGUAAUAUCUUGGUAAUUCCUUAUAUGCGCAGCAGUGCUUAAAAAGGGGAGUCCCGUCUAAAAACGAGCUUAUGCCUGAUUAGCUAGUUGGCGAGUUAAAAGCUCACCAAGGCGAAGAUCAGUAGCUGGCCUGAGAGGGCGGCCAGCCACAUUGGGACUGAG
Molecule: ribosomal RNA, 280 nt
Filed under: Apicomplexa sp.
Lineage: Eukaryota; Apicomplexa
Description: partial small subunit ribosomal RNA
Rfam family: Bacterial small subunit ribosomal RNA
Source: RNAcentral